Molecule: unclassified non-coding RNA, 775 nt
Filed under: Bradyrhizobium sp. HZ5
Lineage: Bacteria; Pseudomonadati; Pseudomonadota; Alphaproteobacteria; Hyphomicrobiales; Nitrobacteraceae
Description: partial 16S-23S ribosomal RNA intergenic spacer
Rfam family: tRNA (bases 92-165)
Source: RNAcentral
UUCGCCGUCUACGUUGCUCUUUCUUCGCGGACGAACACGCGCUGGGCCUGCACGCAGCAGGAUCCAGGGUCCUUAACGGGAUAUGCGUUAGGGGCUUGUAGCUCAGUUGGUUAGAGCGCGCGCUUGAUAAGCGUGAGGUCGGAAGUUCAAGUCUUCCCAGGCCCACCACUUUCAUCGAGUGAGCAUUCGUCUUCUGGUUACGGGGCCAUAGCUCAGCUGGGAGAGCGCGUGCUUUGCAAGCAUGAGGUCGUCGGUUCGAUCCCGUCUGGCUCCACCAGAUGGUUUGAUCACCGAGGUCAUGCACCGUCGUCCGCGAAACAUCACUUCGCAUCCUGCUAGUCUGGAUAGACAGCAGAAUGCGUGUUUUCUGACAUCGUAAAGAGGAGAUCGAUCCGAGUUGGGUCGUGUAGCAGAUUGCUGCGCGGAUCCUUCAUUAUCUCCGGAUCAUUUUCGGCGCUCGACGCUGACCGCAAGGUUGGCAGCGAGUUGUAAAAUGAUCCUUUUAGCGAAGCUUGACCGCCUCGCUAUCGGAACGAUCUUACGAAGCAAGCUGGUCUUUCUAGUCAAUGUCCGGCUGCGACAAUCGUAUCUUCGAGGGUACGUGCCUUUAGUGGCAAUUGCGCAGACAACAUUCUGCCGAGUGUGUGGACAUUGAUAAUGAGAGCAAUCAAGUGCCUUAAGGUGUUCGGUGGAUGCCUUGCGCUGAGAGGCGAUGAAGGACGUGCUACGCUGCGAUAAGCCGUGGGGAGCUGCGAGAGCUUUGAUCCGCGGAUUU